CCUACGGGAGGCAGCAGUGGGGAAUAUUGCACAAUGGGGGAAACCCUGAUGCAGCGACGCCGCGUGAGUGAAGAAGUAAUUCGUUAUGGAAAGCUCUAUCAGCAGGGAAGCAAAUGACGGUACCUGUGUAAGGAGCCCCGGCUAACUACGUGCCAGCAGCCGCGGUAAUACGUAGGGGGCAAGCGUUAUCCGGAUUUACUGGGGGUAAAGGGGGCGUAGACGGCAGUGCAAGUCUGGAGUGAAAGGCGGGGGCUCAACCCCCGGACUGCCCUGGAAACUGUACGGCUGGAGUGCAGGAGAGGUAAGUGGAAUUCGUAGUGUAGCGGUGAAAUGCGUAGAUAUUAGGAGGAACACCAGUGGCGAAGGCGGCGUACUGGACUGUAACUGACGUUGAGGCUCGAAAGCGUGGGGAGCAAACAGGAUUAGAUACCCCAGUAGUC
RNAcentral lists this ribosomal RNA (440 nucleotides) under uncultured bacterium. RNAcentral's name for it is "partial 16S ribosomal RNA". It matches the Rfam family "Bacterial small subunit ribosomal RNA", at positions 338 to 795 of the family's 1533-position model. The record is from RNAcentral.